GGGGCUGUAGCUCAGAUGGGAGAGCGCCGCAAUCGCACUGCGGAGGUCAGGGGUUCGAAUCCCCUCAGCUCCA
This is a non-coding RNA of Methylobacterium radiotolerans JCM 2831, 73 nucleotides long. NCBI's taxonomy places the organism in Bacteria, Pseudomonadati, Pseudomonadota, Alphaproteobacteria, Hyphomicrobiales, Methylobacteriaceae. The record is from Rfam.